RNAcentral lists this ribosomal RNA (491 nucleotides) under uncultured bacterium. RNAcentral's name for it is "partial 16S ribosomal RNA". It matches the Rfam family "Bacterial small subunit ribosomal RNA", at positions 29 to 507 of the family's 1533-position model. The record is from RNAcentral.
AGUGAACGCUGGCGGUAGGCCUAACACAUGCAAGUCGAACGGCAGCACAGUAAGAGCUUGCUCUUACGGGUGGCGAGUGGCGGACGGGUGAGGAAUACAUCGGAAUCUACUUUUUCGUGGGGGAUAACGUAGGGAAACUUACGCUAAUACCGCAUACGACCUACGGGUGAAAGCAGGGGAUCUUCGGACCUUGCGCGAUUGAAUGAGCCGAUGUCGGAUUAGCUAGUUGGCGGGGUAAAGGCCCACCAAGGCGACGAUCCGUAGCUGGUCUGAGAGGAUGAUCAGCCACACUGGAACUGAGACACGGUCCAGACUCCUACGGGAGGCAGCAGGGGGAAUAUUGGACAAUGGGCGCAAGCCUGAUCCAGCCAUACCGCGUGGGUGAAGAAGGCCUUCGGGUUGUAAAGCCCUUUUGUUGGGAAAGAAAAGCAGCAGGUUAAUACCCCGCUGUUCUGACGGUACCCAAAGAAUAAGCACCGGCUAACUUCGUG